This 253-nucleotide ribosomal RNA is filed under the name uncultured bacterium. RNAcentral's name for it is "partial 16S ribosomal RNA". It matches the Rfam family "Bacterial small subunit ribosomal RNA", at positions 524 to 776 of the family's 1533-position model. The record is from RNAcentral.
UACGGAGGAUGCAAGCGUUAUCCGGAUUUAUUAGGUUUAAAGGGUGCGUAGGUGGAAGAAUAAGUCAGUGGUGAAAGUCUGUGGCUCAACCAUAGAAUUGCCAUUGAUACUGUUUUUCUUGAGUACAGUUGAGGUAGGCGGAAUGUGUAAUGUAGCGGUGAAAUGCUUAGAUAUUACACAGAACACCGAUUGCGUAGGCAGCUUACUAAACUGUUACUGACACUGAUGCACGAAAGCGUGGGGAGCGAACAGG